UCCUUGGUGGUCCAGUGGUUAAGACUCUUGCUUCUAAUGCAGGGGACAUGGGUUUGAUCCCUGGUCAGGGAA
This 72-nucleotide transfer RNA is filed under the name Bos taurus (domestic cattle). It matches the Rfam family "tRNA". From Rfam's summary of the family: Transfer RNA (tRNA) molecules are approximately 80 nucleotides in length. Lineage: Eukaryota; Metazoa; Chordata; Mammalia; Artiodactyla; Bovidae. The record is from Rfam by way of RNAcentral. RNAcentral also lists the same sequence under 1 other name.